Molecule: ribosomal RNA, 407 nt
Filed under: uncultured bacterium
Lineage: Bacteria
Description: partial 16S ribosomal RNA
Rfam family: Bacterial small subunit ribosomal RNA
Source: RNAcentral
AUUGAACGCUGGCGGCAGGCUUAACACAUGCAAGUCGAACGGAGUGGCGGACGGGUGAGUAAUGCUUGGGAAUCUAGCUUAUGGAGGGGGAUAACUACGCGAAAGCGUAGCUAAUACCGCAUACUAUUGGAGCGGCCGAUAUCGGAUUAGCUAGUUGGUGGGGUAACGGCUCACCAAGGCGACGAUCCGUAGCUGGUUUGAGAGGACGACCAGCCACACUGGGACUGAGACACGGCCCAGACUCCUACGGGAGGCAGCAGUGGGGAAUUUUGGACAAUGGGGGAAACCCUGAUCCAGCCAUCCCGCGUGUGCGAUGAAGGCCUUCGGGUUGUAAAGCACUUUUGGCAGGAAAGCGGUACCUGCAGAAUAAGCACCGGCUAACUACGUGCCAGCAGCCGCGGUAAUAC